UGGACUCAUACUGUAAGUCGCUCUGGAUAAGAGCGUCUGCUAAAUGAACGUAU
Salmo salar (Atlantic salmon) is the source of this 53-nucleotide non-coding RNA. NCBI's taxonomy places the organism in Eukaryota, Metazoa, Chordata, Actinopteri, Salmoniformes, Salmonidae. The record is from Rfam.